RNAcentral lists this non-coding RNA (22 nucleotides) under Arabidopsis thaliana (thale cress). The record is from RNAcentral. Lineage: Eukaryota; Viridiplantae; Streptophyta; Magnoliopsida; Brassicales; Brassicaceae.
AAGGGCUUAGCUUGAGGCGGUU